This 205-nucleotide ribosomal RNA is filed under the name Staphylococcus aureus. RNAcentral's name for it is "partial 16S ribosomal RNA". It matches the Rfam family "Bacterial small subunit ribosomal RNA", at positions 1 to 200 of the family's 1533-position model. The record is from RNAcentral. Lineage: Bacteria; Bacillati; Bacillota; Bacilli; Caryophanales; Staphylococcaceae.
UUUAUGGAGAGUUUGAUCCUGGCUCAGGAUGAACGCUGGCGGCGUGCCUAAUACAUGCAAGUCGAGCGAACGGAUGAGAAGCUUGCUUCUCUGAUGUUAGCGGCGGACGGGUGAGUAACACGUGGAUAACCUACCUAUAAGACUGGGAUAACUUCGGGAAACCGGAGCUAAUACCGGAUAAUAUUUUGAACCGCAUGGUUCAAAA